UUUUUUUUCCUCCCCCGAGAAACUACAUAUCAAUAAGCGGAGGAAAAGAAACCAACAGGGAUUGCUCAGUAACGGCGAGUGAAGCGGCAACAGCUCAAAUUUGAAAUCUGGCCGCAAGGUCCGAGUUGUAAUUUGCAGAGGAUGCUUUGGGCGAGGUGCCUUCCGAGUUCCCUGGAACGGGACGCCAUAGAGGGUGAGAGCCCCGUACGGUAGGACCACCGAGCCUUUGUAAAGCUCCUUCGACGAGUCGAGUAGUUUGGGAAUGCUGCUCUAAAUGGGAGGUGUACGUCUUCUAAAGCUAAAUACCGGCCAGAGACCGAUAGCGCACAAGUAGAGUGAUCGAAAGAUGAAAAGCACUUUGAAAAGAGGGUUAAAAAGUACGUGAAAUUGUUGAAAGGGAAGCAUUCAUGACCAGACUUGGGCUUGGUUGAACAUCCGGCGUUCUCGCCGGUGCACUCUGCCAGUCCAGGCCAGCAUCAGUUUGCCCCGGGGGACAAAGGCGGUGGGAAUGUGGCUCUCUCCGGGGAGUGUUAUAGCCCGCCGUGUAAUGCCCUGGGGCGGACUGAGGAACGCGCUUCGGCUCGGAUGCUGGCGUAAUGGUCAUCAAUGACCCGUCUUGAAACACGGACCAAGGAGUCGUCUUCGUAUGCGAGUGUUCGGGUGUCAAACCCCUACGCGAAAUGAAAGUGAACGUAGGUGAGAGCUUCGGCGCAUCACCGACCGAUCCUGAUGUUCUCGGACGGAUUUGAGUAAGAGCAUACGGGGCCGGACCCGAAAGAAGGUGAACUAUGCCUGUAUAGGGUGAAGCCAGAGGAAACUCUGGUGGAGGCUCGCAGCGGUUCUGACGUGCAAAUCGAUCGUCAAAUAUGGGCAUGGGGGCGAAAGACUAAUCGAACCCU
Molecule: ribosomal RNA, 899 nt
Filed under: Acremonium sp.
Lineage: Eukaryota; Fungi; Ascomycota; Sordariomycetes; Hypocreales; Bionectriaceae
Description: partial large subunit ribosomal RNA
Rfam family: Eukaryotic large subunit ribosomal RNA
Source: RNAcentral